Lysobacter capsici AZ78 is the source of this 113-nucleotide non-coding RNA. NCBI's taxonomy places the organism in Bacteria, Pseudomonadati, Pseudomonadota, Gammaproteobacteria, Lysobacterales, Lysobacteraceae. The record is from Rfam.
AACGUCUGUCGCCGAUCUCUCCCUCCCCUGGAGUGAUCCCCCGGAGCGAACGCCCCCUCCCCAGGGCACGCUCCACCAGCCCCGCCGGCCCCCCCUGCCUGCGGGGCUUUUUA